GGGUGCCCUCUGCUGACUGCCCACUGUGUGAAGACUGGAGGGCUGCGGUGAGGACCGGGAGGUCUUAUGUUGGCAUCCUUCACUGAUGGAUCCAGUCAGCAGGAGACUUAGAGUGGGCAGGUGGUCCAAGUUUCAGAGAAUGUAGGUGACCUCUGAGCCCAGCAGGGCUAGAGACACCAAGGCUACCCCUGAAGCUCCCAUGGCCCCAGAUCUUCUUCCUGAGCCAGCUGGGGGCAAAAAGCCCAGCCCAGAGGUUCCCUCUGCUUGGGAUGAGCCUUCUUCCUUCCUUCUCUAGCUGGCAUUGCAGCCACCCUAGCAGGAACCAUCCAGAGGUGUCUCCUUUGGCCACAAAUCUACACAACCAUGGUGGCUGUCUGAUUCCAGAACACUGUCCUCACCCAGAAGAAAACCCUAGGACUAUCUGUAGCCACUAUUUCUCCUAUUGACAGUCCACUAGACUUCUCAUAUUAGUGGAUUUACCUGUUCCUGGGCAUUUCAUCUAAAUAGUCUGGUCUCUCAUUGCACACAGUUGGGCCGCCCUCCUUCUCAGGGCUAAAGACACUGCGGGUACUCUGACUUGAUUAUCGAUUGAUUGUGUGUAUUUUGUUGUCCUCCUCUGGUUGUUGUCAAAAGGGCUGUUAUGACCAGGCAUUUGGGAGGCAGAGGCAGGUAGAUCUCCACAAGUUUGAGGCCAGCCUAGUCUACAUAGAGCAUUGAAGGUCAGCCAGUGUAACAAAGUGAGAUCUUGUCCCAAAG
This 756-nucleotide long non-coding RNA is filed under the name Cricetulus griseus (Chinese hamster). RNAcentral's name for it is "lncRNA (ENSCGRG00015030234.1)". Lineage: Eukaryota; Metazoa; Chordata; Mammalia; Rodentia; Cricetidae. The record is from RNAcentral.